Molecule: ribosomal RNA, 3002 nt
Filed under: Salmonella enterica subsp. enterica serovar Typhimurium
Lineage: Bacteria; Pseudomonadati; Pseudomonadota; Gammaproteobacteria; Enterobacterales; Enterobacteriaceae
Description: partial 23S ribosomal RNA
Rfam family: Bacterial large subunit ribosomal RNA
Source: RNAcentral
GGGUUGUGAGGUUAAGCGACUAAGCGUACACGGUGGAUGCCCUGGCAGUCAGAGGCGAUGAAGGGCGUGCUAAUCUGCGAUAAGCGCCGGUAAGGUGAUAUGAACCGUUAUAACCGGCGAUACCCGAAUGGGGAAACCCAGUGUGAUUCGUCACACUAUCAUUAACUGAAUCCAUAGGUUAAUGAGGCGAACCGGGGGAACUGAAACAUCUAAGUACCCCGAGGAAAAGAAAUCAACCGAGAUUCCCCCAGUAGCGGCGAGCGAACGGGGAGGAGCCCAGAGCCUGAAUCAGCAUGUGUGUUAGUGGAAGCGUCUGGAAAGGCGCGCGAUACAGGGUGACAGCCCCGUACACAAAAGCGCAUGUGCUGUGAGCUCGAUGAGUAGGGCGGGACACGUGGUAUCCUGUCUGAAUAUGGGGGGACCAUCCUCCAAGGCUAAAUACUCCUGACUGACCGAUAGUGAACCAGUACCGUGAGGGAAAGGCGAAAAGAACCCCGGCGAGGGGAGUGAAAAAGAACCUGAAACCGUGUACGUACAAGCAGUGGGAGCACCCUUCGGGGUGUGACUGCGUACCUUUUGUAUAAUGGGUCAGCGACUUAUAUUCUGUAGCAAGGUUAACCGUAUAGGGGAGCCGGAGGGAAACCGAGUCUUAACCGGGCGUUAAGUUGCAGGGUAUAGACCCGAAACCCGGUGAUCUAGCCAUGGGCAGGUUGAAGGUUGGGUAACACUAACUGGAGGACCGAACCGACUAAUGUUGAAAAAUUAGCGGAUGACCUGUGGCUGGGGGUGAAAGGCCAAUCAAACCGGGAGAUAGCUGGUUCUCCCCGAAAGCUAUUUAGGUAGCGCCUCGUGAAUUCAUCUCCGGGGGUAGAGCACUGUUUCGGCUAGGGGGCCAUCCCGGCUUACCAACCCGAUGCAAACUGCGAAUACCGGAGAAUGUUAUCACGGGAGACACACGGCGGGUGCUAACGUCCGUCGUGAAGAGGGAAACAACCCAGACCGCCAGCUAAGGUCCCAAAGUCAUGGUUAAGUGGGAAACGAUGUGGGAAGGCCCAGACAGCCAGGAUGUUGGCUUAGAAGCAGCCAUCAUUUAAAGAAAGCGUAAUAGCUCACUGGUCGAGUCGGCCUGCGCGGAAGAUGUAACGGGGCUAAACCAUGCACCGAAGCUGCGGCAGCGAACGUAUCACCCAAGACAACUUUACGGAGUUGACGAUUGACGGAGCGAAGCGACGUCAAAGCGUUCAUUAAAGUCGAGUUGGCUUAGGGAUACGUUCGUUGGGUAGGGGAGCGUUCUGUAAGCCUGUGAAGGUGUGUCGUGAGGCAUGCUGGAGGUAUCAGAAGUGCGAAUGCUGACAUAAGUAACGAUAAAGCGGGUGAAAAGCCCGCUCGCCGGAAGACCAAGGGUUCCUGUCCAACGUUAAUCGGGGCAGGGUGAGUCGACCCCUAAGGCGAGGCCGAAAGGCGUAGUCGAUGGGAAACGGGUUAAUAUUCCCGUACUUGGUGUUACUGCGAAGGGGGGACGGAGAAGGCUAUGUUGGCCGGGCGACGGUUGUCCCGGUUUAAGCGUGUAGGUGUGUGUUCCAGGUAAAUCCGGUUCACUUUAACACUGAGGCGUGACGACGAGGCACUACGGUGCUGAAGCAACAAAUGCCCUGCUUCCAGGAAAAGCCUCUAAGCAUCAGGUAACAUCAAAUCGUACCCCAAACCGACACAGGUGGUCAGGUAGAGAAUACCAAGGCGCUUGAGAGAACUCGGGUGAAGGAACUAGGCAAAAUGGUGCCGUAACUUCGGGAGAAGGCACGCUGACACGUAGGUGAAGUGAUUUACUCAUGGAGCUGAAGUCAGUCGAAGAUACCAGCUGGCUGCAACUGUUUAUUAAAAACACAGCACUGUGCAAACACGAAAGUGGACGUAUACGGUGUGACGCCUGCCCGGUGCCGGAAGGUUAAUUGAUGGGGUCAGCGUAAGCGAAGCUCCUGAUCGAAGCCCCGGUAAACGGCGGCCGUAACUAUAACGGUCCUAAGGUAGCGAAAUUCCUUGUCGGGUAAGUUCCGACCUGCACGAAUGGCGUAAUGAUGGCCAGGCUGUCUCCACCCGAGACUCAGUGAAAUUGAACUCGCUGUGAAGAUGCAGUGUACCCGCGGCAAGACGGAAAGACCCCGUGAACCUUUACUAUAGCUUGACACUGAACAUUGAGCCUUGAUGUGUAGGAUAGGUGGGAGGCUUUGAAGUGUGGACGCCAGUCUGCAUGGAGCCGACCUUGAAAUACCACCCUUUAAUGUUUGAUGUUCUAACGUGGACCCGUAAUCCGGGUUGCGGACAGUGUCUGGUGGGUAGUUUGACUGGGGCGGUCUCCUCCUAAAGAGUAACGGAGGAGCACGAAGGUUGGCUAAUCCUGGUCGGACAUCAGGAGGUUAGUGCAAUGGCAUAAGCCAGCUUGACUGCGAGCGUGACGGCGCGAGCAGGUGCGAAAGCAGGUCAUAGUGAUCCGGUGGUUCUGAAUGGAAGGGCCAUCGCUCAACGGAUAAAAGGUACUCCGGGGAUAACAGGCUGAUACCGCCCAAGAGUUCAUAUCGACGGCGGUGUUUGGCACCUCGAUGUCGGCUCAUCACAUCCUGGGGCUGAAGUAGGUCCCAAGGGUAUGGCUGUUCGCCAUUUAAAGUGGUACGCGAGCUGGGUUUAGAACGUCGUGAGACAGUUCGGUCCCUAUCUGCCGUGGGCGCUGGAGAACUGAGGGGGGCUGCUCCUAGUACGAGAGGACCGGAGUGGACGCAUCACUGGUGUUCGGGUUGUCAUGCCAAUGGCACUGCCCGGUAGCUAAAUGCGGAAGAGAUAAGUGCUGAAAGCAUCUAAGCACGAAACUUGCCCCGAGAUGAGUUCUCCCUGAGACUUAGAGUCUCCUGAAGGAACGUUGAAGACGACGACGUUGAUAGGCCGGGUGUGUAAGCGCAGCGAUGCGUUGAGCUAACCGGUACUAAUGAACCGUGAGGCUUAACCUUACA